This 404-nucleotide ribosomal RNA is filed under the name uncultured bacterium. RNAcentral describes it as "bacterial SSU rRNA". It matches the Rfam family "Bacterial small subunit ribosomal RNA", at positions 355 to 775 of the family's 1533-position model. The record is from RNAcentral.
UAAGGAAUUUUCCGCAAUGGACGAAAGUCUGACGGAGCAACGCCGCGUGAGUGACGACGGCCUUCGGGUUGUAAAACUCUUUUCCUUGGGAAGAGCAAGGACGGUACCAGGGGAAGAAGCAUCGGCUAACUACGUGCCAGCAGCCGCGGUAAUACGUAGGAUGCGAGCGUUGUCCGGAGUUAUUGGGCGUAAAGCGCACGUAGGCGGUGCGGUAAGUGUGGUGUGAAAUCUGGGGGCUUAACUCCCAGCGGUCGCUGCAGACUGCCGCGCUGGAGGGCUGGAGAGGAAGAUAGAAUUCCCGGUGUAGUGGUGAAAUGCGUAGAUAUCGGGAGGAAUACCAGUGGCGAAGGCGGUCUUCUGGCCAGUUCCUGACGCUGAGGUGCGAAAGCUAGGGGAGCGAACGG